Non-coding RNA from Nematostella vectensis (starlet sea anemone), 72 nucleotides. The record is from Rfam. NCBI's taxonomy places the organism in Eukaryota, Metazoa, Cnidaria, Anthozoa, Actiniaria, Edwardsiidae.
GACUCCGUGGCGCAAUGGUAGAGCGUCUGACUCCAGAUCAGAAGGUUGGGUGUUCAAAUCACGUCGGGAUCA